RNAcentral lists this ribosomal RNA (464 nucleotides) under uncultured bacterium. RNAcentral describes it as "bacterial SSU rRNA". It matches the Rfam family "Bacterial small subunit ribosomal RNA", at positions 186 to 669 of the family's 1533-position model. The record is from RNAcentral.
GUGGAAAACAAAAAGCUAAAGCUUUUGGUGGUAUACGAUGGAUCCGCGUCUGAUUAGCUUGUUGGCGGGGUAAAGGCCCACCAAGGCGACGAUCAGUAGCCGGCCUGAGAGGGUGAACGGCCACGUUGGGACUGAGACACGGCCCAAACUCCUACGGGAGGCAGCAGUGGGGAAUAUUGCACAAUGGGGGAAACCCUGAUGCAGCGACGCCGCGUGAGUGAAGAAGUAUUUCGGUAUGUAAAGCUCUAUCAGCAGGGAAGAAAAUGACGGUACCUGACUAAGAAGCCCCGGCUAACUACGUGCCAGCAGCCGCGGUAAUACGUAGGGGGCAAGCGUUAUCCGGAUUUACUGGGUGUAAAGGGAGCGUAGACGGCAGCGCAAGUCUGGAGUGAAAUCCCAUGGCUUAACCAUGGAACUGCUUUGGAAACUGUGCAGCUAGAGUGCAGGAGAGGUAAGCGGAAUUC